UCGAGGCCUUUUAUAGCUGACUAUGCGGUAUGGGCUUUGCUCAUUGUUGAAGGCCAUACAGUGACCUAUAGUUGUUAAUGUCAUUUUGGUCUUUUGUGGAUAGUUGUCUCAUUAGCAAUCAUACCACAUCUUCUUUUUUAAAUAUAGAUAUUAACCAAUCGUCCAGGCUUCUACUUAAUAUUCUCUUUGAUGUUUUAUUUAAAACACCUGUAUCAUGCAAGUUGAAAUAUUAUAAGUAAAUAAUAUUAUUUAUCAUUUUCAGUGGACAACACCAAAGAAUCAAUAUCAAGGAAGUGUUCCAUGCUUUGAACUAGACACAUCCUGAUGCAUGAGUAAAUAUAAGAAGGAAGACCAACUGAUGAUACCCCUUUCUGUUGAUUAACAUGUACAUGUAUUUGAUGAUGAGAAAUCAGAUAGUAUUGCUUAAUCUGACCCAUACUGGAAACUACACUCACUUGGGUUAUGUUUUUUUAAGAAAACAAUGUUAUUGUCAAACCUGUAACUCAUUGAGUUGUAAAUGAACAGGAUUAUAAAUAUUUGCUUUUAGAUAUUGUUAUCAAAUUAACAAUUUAGCUUCUGUGAUUAUAAAGUUAUGAAUCAAUUAAUCAAUUUGUGAACUAAAUAAGGCUUUUACAAUGACUCUUACAUAGGGCUUGUACAAUGAGACAGAAGUAUAUAUCACUUCCCGUGUAUCUGGUUACUUGUGAGGUUAGCUCUAUUAGUUUCAUUUUUUUUUCAUUAUUU
RNAcentral lists this long non-coding RNA (744 nucleotides) under Mytilus galloprovincialis (Mediterranean mussel). The record is from RNAcentral. Lineage: Eukaryota; Metazoa; Mollusca; Bivalvia; Mytilida; Mytilidae.